This 423-nucleotide ribosomal RNA is filed under the name uncultured bacterium. RNAcentral describes it as "bacterial SSU rRNA". It matches the Rfam family "Bacterial small subunit ribosomal RNA", at positions 917 to 1345 of the family's 1533-position model. The record is from RNAcentral.
GGACCCGCACAAGCGGUGGAUGAUGUGGAUUAAUUCGAUGCAACGCGAAAAACCUUACCUACCCUUGACAUGUCAGGAAUUUUGCAGAGAUGCAAAAGUGCUCGAAAGAGAACCUGAACACAGGUGCUGCAUGGCUGUCGUCAGCUCGUGUCGUGAGAUGUUGGGUUAAGUCCCGCAACGAGCGCAACCCUUGUCAUUAGUUGCUACGCAAGGGCACUCUAAUGAGACUGCCGGUGACAAACCGGAGGAAGGUGGGGACGACGUCAAGUCCUCAUGGCCCUUAUGGGUAGGGCUGCACACGUACUACAAUGCCCAGUACAAUGUGAACCGAUACCGCAAGGUGGAGGAAAUCCUUAAAACUGGGCUCAGUUCGGAUUGUGGGCUGCAACUCGCCCACAUGAAGCUGGAAUCGCUAGUAAUCGG